RNAcentral lists this ribosomal RNA (404 nucleotides) under Brucella melitensis. RNAcentral describes it as "partial 16S ribosomal RNA". It matches the Rfam family "Bacterial small subunit ribosomal RNA", at positions 355 to 776 of the family's 1533-position model. RNAcentral also lists the same sequence under 1 other name. The record is from RNAcentral. Lineage: Bacteria; Pseudomonadati; Pseudomonadota; Alphaproteobacteria; Hyphomicrobiales; Brucellaceae.
UGGGGAAUAUUGGACAAUGGGCGCAAGCCUGAUCCAGCCAUGCCGCGUGAGUGAUGAAGGCCCUAGGGUUGUAAAGCUCUUUCACCGGUGAAGAUAAUGACGGCAACCGGAGAAGAAGCCCCGGCUAACUUCGUGCCAGCAGCCGCGGUAAUACGAAGGGGGCUAGCGUUGUUCGGAUUUACUGGGCGUAAAGCGCACGUAGGCGGACUUUUAAGUCAGGGGUGAAAUCCCGGGGCUCAACCCCGGAACUGCCUUUGAUACUGGAAGUCUUGAGUAUGGUAGAGGUGAGUGGAAUUCCGAGUGUAGAGGUGAAAUUCGUAGAUAUUCGGAGGAACACCAGUGGCGAAGGCGGCUCACUGGACCAUUACUGACGCUGAGGUGCGAAAGCGUGGGGAGCAAACAGG